This 708-nucleotide ribosomal RNA is filed under the name Salmonella enterica subsp. enterica. Its description in RNAcentral is "bacterial LSU rRNA". It matches the Rfam family "Bacterial large subunit ribosomal RNA", at positions 504 to 1211 of the family's 2925-position model. Lineage: Bacteria; Pseudomonadati; Pseudomonadota; Gammaproteobacteria; Enterobacterales; Enterobacteriaceae. The record is from RNAcentral.
UGAGGGAAAGGCGAAAAGAACCCCGGCGAGGGGAGUGAAAAAGAACCUGAAACCGUGUACGUACAAGCAGUGGGAGCACAGGUUUACCUGUGUGACUGCGUACCUUUUGUAUAAUGGGUCAGCGACUUAUAUUCUGUAGCAAGGUUAACCGCAUAGGGGAGCCGGAGGGAAACCGAGUCUUAACUGGGCGUUAAGUUGCAGGGUAUAGACCCGAAACCCGGUGAUCUAGCCAUGGGCAGGUUGAAGGUUGGGUAACACUAACUGGAGGACCGAACCGACUAAUGUUGAAAAAUUAGCGGAUGACCUGUGGCUGGGGGUGAAAGGCCAAUCAAACCGGGAGAUAGCUGGUUCUCCCCGAAAGCUAUUUAGGUAGCGCCUCGUGAAUUCAUCUCCGGGGGUAGAGCACUGUUUCGGCUAGGGGGCCAUCCCGGCUUACCAACCCGAUGCAAACUGCGAAUACCGGAGAAUGUUAUCACGGGAGACACACGGCGGGUGCUAACGUCCGUCGUGAAGAGGGAAACAACCCAGACCGCCAGCUAAGGUCCCAAAGUCAUGGUUAAGUGGGAAACGAUGUGGGAAGGCCCAGACAGCCAGGAUGUUGGCUUAGAAGCAGCCAUCAUUUAAAGAAAGCGUAAUAGCUCACUGGUCGAGUCGGCCUGCGCGGAAGAUGUAACGGGGCUAAACCAUGCACCGAAGCUGCGGCAGCGA